AAACGGCCGCGUUAGCGUGAGCGUGCUAAGGUAGCGUAAUAAAUAGCCUCUUAAUUGGAGGCCAGCGAAUGGCAAGACUAGGACAUCUGUCCCUGUAUAGAAAAACGGCUUUUCAUUUGGGUGAAAAGACCCACAUAAUAAAGGAAGACGAAAAGACCCCGNNGAGCUUUACCUUUUCCAGUAUCCACAUGCUCGAACAUGAGAGCAAAAGGUUUGAUUGGGGCAUCUUGGAACCAGUCAAACUUUUAACUUACUACAAUAAUUAUANAAANCUUAGUAAGGACCAAAAAGAAGUUACCCCGGGGAUAACAGCGUUAUCCAACUUGAGAGUACACAUCGAAAGCUGGGUUUGCGACCUCGNUGUUGGCUUAAGG
This 374-nucleotide ribosomal RNA is filed under the name Epioblasma brevidens. Its description in RNAcentral is "partial 16S ribosomal RNA". It matches the Rfam family "Bacterial large subunit ribosomal RNA", at positions 1925 to 2542 of the family's 2925-position model. Lineage: Eukaryota; Metazoa; Mollusca; Bivalvia; Unionida; Unionidae. The record is from RNAcentral.